GACGAACGCUGGCGGCGUGCUUAACACAUGCAAGUCGAACGGAAAGGCCCUGCUUUUGUGGGGUGCUCGAGUGGCGAACGGGUGAGUAACACGUGUGUAACCUGCCCUUGACUUUGGGAUAACUUCAGGAAACUGGGGCUAAUACCGGAUAGGAGCUCCUGCUGCAUGGUGGGGGUUGGAAAGUUUCGGCGGUUGGGGAUGGACUCGCGGCUUAUCAGCUUGUUGGUGGGGUAGUGGCUUACCAAGGCUUUGAUGGGUAGCCGGCCUGAGGGGGUGACCGGCCACAUUGGGACUGAGAUACGGCCCAGACUCCUACGGGAGGCAGCAGUGGGGAAUAUUGCACAAUGGGCGGAAGCCUGAUGCAGCAACGCCGCGUGCGGGAUGACGGCCUUCGGGUUGUAAACCGCUUUCGCCUGUGACGAAGCGUGAGUGACGGUAAUGGGUAAAGAAGCACCGGCUAACUACGUG
RNAcentral lists this ribosomal RNA (468 nucleotides) under uncultured bacterium. RNAcentral's name for it is "partial 16S ribosomal RNA". It matches the Rfam family "Bacterial small subunit ribosomal RNA", at positions 28 to 507 of the family's 1533-position model. The record is from RNAcentral.